GAUGAACGCUAGCGGCAGGCCUAAUACAUGCAAGUCGAACGGGAUCCAGAUCAAAGCUUGCUUUGGUUUGGUGAGAGUGGCGUACGGGUGCGUAACGCGUGAGCAACCUACCCUUGUCAGGGGGAUAGCCCGGCGAAAGUCGGAUUAAUACCGCAUGACAUCAUUGAGAGGCAUCUUUCGAUGAUCAAAGAUUUAUCGGACAAGGAUGGGCUCGCGUGACAUUAGCUAGUUGGUAAGGUAACGGCUUACCAAGGCUACGAUGUCUAGGGGCUCUGAGAGGAGAAUCCACCACACUGGUACUGAGACACGGACCAGACUCCUACGGGAGGCAGCAGUAAGGAAUAUUGGUCAAUGGACGGAAGUCUGAACCAGCCAUGCCGCGUGCAGGAAGACGGCCCUAUGGGUUGUAAACUGCUUUUAUACGGGAACAAACGUCGGUACGUGUACCGGUCUGAGUGUACCGUAAGAAUAAGGAUCGGCUAACUCCGUG
RNAcentral lists this ribosomal RNA (490 nucleotides) under uncultured bacterium. RNAcentral describes it as "partial 16S ribosomal RNA". It matches the Rfam family "Bacterial small subunit ribosomal RNA", at positions 28 to 507 of the family's 1533-position model. The record is from RNAcentral.